CAAAGAGUCGAGUUGUUUGGGAAUGCAGCUCAAAGUGGGUGGUAAACUCCAUCUAAAGCUAAAUACUGGUGAGAGACCGAUAGCGAACAAGUACUGUGAAGGAAAGGUGAAAAGAACUUUGAAAAGAGAGUGAAAUAGUAUGUGAAAUUGUUGAUAGGGAAGGAAAUGAGUGGAGAGUGGCCGAGGUUUCAGCCGCCCCUCGUGGGCGGUGUACUGCCGACGCCGAGUCAUCGAUAGCGAGACGAGGGUUACAAAUGGGAGCGCCUUCGGGCGUUCUCCCCUAACCCUCCACACUGCCACCGACGACAUAAUCCACCCAUUUCACCCGUCUUGAAACACGGACCAAGGAGUCUAAUGGAUAUGUGAGUGUUAGGGUGGCAAACCCCAGCGCGCAAUGAAAGUGAAUGGAUUCGUUCAGAAUCGACCGAACUUGAUUAUUAUGACAGUUUUGAGUAAACACAUCCAUUGGGACCCGAAAGAUGGUGAACUAUGCCUGGAUAGGGUGAAGUCAGAGGAAACUCUGAUGGAGGCUCGUAGCGGUUCUGACGUGCAAAUCGAUCGUAGGAUCUGGGUAUAGGGGCGAAAGACUAAUCGAAC
This 597-nucleotide ribosomal RNA is filed under the name Yarrowia lipolytica. RNAcentral describes it as "eukaryotic LSU rRNA". It matches the Rfam family "Eukaryotic large subunit ribosomal RNA", at positions 258 to 940 of the family's 3401-position model. Lineage: Eukaryota; Fungi; Ascomycota; Dipodascomycetes; Dipodascales. The record is from RNAcentral.